AGCUUUGCGCAGUGGCAGUAUCGUAGCCAAUGAGGUUUAUCCGAGGCGCGAUUAUUGCUAAUUGAUUUUGCAGUUUUGAC
Molecule: small nuclear RNA, 80 nt
Filed under: Neogale vison (American mink)
Lineage: Eukaryota; Metazoa; Chordata; Mammalia; Carnivora; Mustelidae
Description: Neovison vison (American mink) U4 spliceosomal RNA (ENSNVIG00000012680.1)
Rfam family: U4 spliceosomal RNA (bases 1-66)
About the family: U4 small nuclear RNA (U4 snRNA) is a component of the major U2-dependent spliceosome. The structure of U4 snRNA from yeast and human has been reported.
Source: RNAcentral